CUUUCUUUGCUGGCGACCGGCGCACGGGUGAGUAACACGUGCCCAACCUGCCCUUUACUCGGGGAUAGCCUUUCGAAAGAAAGAUUAAUACCCGAUAGCAUAAUGAUUCCGCAUGGUUUCAUUAUUAAAGGAUUCCGGUAAAGGAUGGGGAUGCGUUCCAUUAGGUUGUUGGUGAGGUAACGGCCCACCAAGCCUUCGAUGGAUAGGGGUUCUGAGAGGAAGGUCCCCCACAUUGGAACUGAGACACGGUCCAA
Molecule: ribosomal RNA, 254 nt
Filed under: uncultured bacterium
Lineage: Bacteria
Description: partial 16S ribosomal RNA
Rfam family: Bacterial small subunit ribosomal RNA
Source: RNAcentral